Gopherus flavomarginatus (Mexican gopher tortoise) is the source of this 872-nucleotide long non-coding RNA. RefSeq lists it as uncharacterized. The record is from RefSeq and is a predicted model, not a curated record. The transcript is spliced from 3 exons. Lineage: Eukaryota; Metazoa; Chordata; Testudines; Testudinidae.
CGGGGCGGGGCGAGCGCAGGCCCGGGGGGAGCUGGGCGAGGCGGAGCAGGGCUGCCCGGGGGGCCAAGUGGGGCAAUAUGCCCCAGGCCCCACAGGUUCCCCGCCGCCUCUGCCUUCCCCCAUCGCCUCAGCGCGCCGCGUCCAGGAUCGGCCCUGGACAGACCUAAAGUGGCCUGGCUCCGGCAGAGCCUGAGUGCCCUUCCCUGGGAGCUGCGUGGCAAGGGGGCGCGGCCUGAGCCCCCCCUGCUAGGAGCCGGGUGGUAAGGGGGCGGGGCCUGAGCGCCCCUCGCUGGGAGCUGGGUGGUAAGGGGGCAGGGCCUGAGCGCCUCCUGCUGGGAGCCGCGGGGGCGGGGCUGCGGGCCAGGCCCCUGCAUGCUGUACAGGGCUGCUCUUGGACGCUGCUGAGGCUCCGGGAGGCGGGGGACAGAAGCGACUUUGUCUGUACAAAGUGCAAGCUGGUCUCCAUAUUGGAAGAGAAGGUUCGAGGUCUGGAGAAACAAGUAUCGACCCUGCAUUGCAUAAGAGAAAAUGAAGAUUUCCUGGACAGACGUCAGGAUAUGCUUCUACGGGCACAACAUACUGAAGAAUCGGAGCAGGCUGUGCAGAGAGGAGAGAGGGACGGUGAAGAAAUUUGUCAGCAUGUGACCUCCAGAAGAAGAAAGAGGAGUGUCCAUUUACCAGCAAUGGAGAUACAGAUGAGCAACCGUUUUCAUGUUCUUUCCACAGGUACUAAUGCAGAGAGUGGACUAGAUGGUACAUCUGAGAGAAGGGAGCAGAAGGAGACUCCACCGAUUGGAAGGCAUGAGAUGCACUGUCCUAGGGAUGGGGUUUCCAUGACCACCGCUCCCAAGAGAAGGAGGAGGGUGGUGGUG